GUGCAAUCACUUUCUUUAACAGCAGAAGAGAAGGAGAGCAGAGCUGCUGUCACUUCAUGUAUUUCUGCACAGAGGAAAGCAGUACAGGGCUGGGUCCCUGUGAUGUAGCUCAGGCAAAUCAGUGUUGCUUUUAGUGGCUGAAGUAAAGCAUCGCAGCAGACCUGGUGUGUGGAGAAGCAGUUUCCUAUGGACAAAUGCAAGAGGGAUGUUCCAGGAGCAAGGGCCACCACAGGAAAACUUCAGAGCCAUUUCUCUGAGAAGCAAAUGUGACAGGCAUAGCAGUGGAAAGGUGAUGUUAUGAGACAGAGGAGUGCGUAAAAACAGAUGCAGAGCUGUAAAAGACCUCAAAGUACAGAAUUACUGAAAAGUAGUCUAUGCCAUAAAAUGGACUUGAUGUAGAAAUCCCACAACUAAUGGAAACUCAUGCCAUGAAGUCCAGACUGUAGAUGUAAGGCAGCUCUGUGCCACAGUGACCUGUCACUGCAUUUUCUCGGCAGGGCUUAUUAGCUUGGGCAUGGCACUGUCUGAUGUGGGAACAGUGCAUCAAAUGUGAACUGGCUGGGGUCCAGGCAGCUCAGUGUAUCCAUGUAUCACACGCCCCAGCACACCAGCACUGGAAUUAGCUUAGACAGACCUCACUUGGGUUUGUUUUAAUUGGUCCAUAAAUGAUAAGAAACCCUCUUUUUUUCUCCCGUCCAACUAAUCUCCAGUUUAAUAAAGGAAG
This 724-nucleotide long non-coding RNA is filed under the name Anser brachyrhynchus (Pink-footed goose). Its description in RNAcentral is "lncRNA (ENSABRG00000014105.1)". The record is from RNAcentral. Lineage: Eukaryota; Metazoa; Chordata; Aves; Anseriformes; Anatidae.